GAUGAACGCUGGCGGCGUGCCUAAUACAUGCAAGUCGAGCGAACAGACGAGGAGCUUGCUCCUUUGACGUUAGCGGCGGACGGGUGAGUAACACGUAGGUAACCUACCUAUAAGACUGGGAUAACUUCGGGAAACCGGAGCUAAUACCGGAUAAUAUUUCGAACCGCAUGGUUCGAUAGUGAAAGAUGGCUUUGCUAUCACUUAUAGAUGGACCUGCGCCGUAUUAGCUAGUUGGUAAGGUAACGGCUUACCAAGGCAACGAUACGUAGCCGACCUGAGAGGGGGUCGGGCCAAACUGAAACUGGAACCCGGCCCAAACCCCAAGGGGGGGAGCAGGAGGGAAUCUUUCGCAAUUGGGGAAAGCCCUGAGGGGCAACCCCGCGUGAGGGAAGAAAGGUUUUGGGUUGGAAAACCCUUUUUUUAGGGAAAAAAAAAAGGGUAAGGAAAUAUGCACGGUUUUACGGGUACCAAUCCGAAAGGCACCGCCUACCUCGGG
Molecule: ribosomal RNA, 496 nt
Filed under: uncultured bacterium
Lineage: Bacteria
Description: partial 16S ribosomal RNA
Rfam family: Bacterial small subunit ribosomal RNA
Source: RNAcentral